AUGGGCCCAUCCACCUCCUCGGCCGUCGACGCGGAUCUGACGCAUGUGUCCUCCCAGGAUCCAGCGUCAUCCGAGGUGCGCGUGAGGGCAGGUCGCGGCAGCGCCCUGGGAAGGUCGCGGGCAACCCCUUGGGCAGGUCGUGCACCACACCAGGCCGAGUGCCUGACACUGGCGGUGAGGAAGCAGAGCAAGGGCGUCGGCAGCUACCUCGUCAGCACCCGGUGGCACACGAACUUCUGGCUCCUCGCUUGA
This 252-nucleotide ribosomal RNA is filed under the name Triticum aestivum (bread wheat). Its description in RNAcentral is "partial small subunit ribosomal RNA". Lineage: Eukaryota; Viridiplantae; Streptophyta; Magnoliopsida; Poales; Poaceae. The record is from RNAcentral.